AGUGAACGCUGGCGGUAUGCCUAACACAUGCAAGUCGAACGGCAGCACAGGAUAGCUUUCUCUCUUGGUUGCGAGUGGCGGGCGGGUGUGGAAUACAUCGGAAUCUGCCCAGUCGGGGGGGAUAACGUAGGGAAACUUACGCUAAUACCGCAUACGACCUUCGGGUGAAAGAGGGGGAUCGCAAGACCUCUCGCGAUUGGAUGAGCCGAUGUCGGAUUAGCUUGUUGGCGGGGUAAUGGCCCACCAAGGCGACGAUCCGUAGCUGGCCUGAGAGGAUGAUCAGCCACACUGGAACUGAGACACGGUCCAGACUCCUACGGGAGGCAGCAGUGGGGAAUAUUGGACAAUGGGCGAAAGCCUGAUCCAGCCAUACCGCGUGGGUGAAGAAGGCCUUCGGGUUGUAAAGCCCUUUUGUUGGGAAAGAAAUCUUUCAGGCUAAUACCCUGGGAGGAUGACGGUACCCAAAGAAUAAGCACCGGCUAACUUCGUG
This 490-nucleotide ribosomal RNA is filed under the name uncultured bacterium. RNAcentral's name for it is "partial 16S ribosomal RNA". It matches the Rfam family "Bacterial small subunit ribosomal RNA", at positions 29 to 507 of the family's 1533-position model. The record is from RNAcentral.